GGGCUCGUGGUCUAGUGGUAUGACGUCGCCUUCACACGGCGGAGGUCACCGGUUCGAAUCCGGUCGGGCCCA
Molecule: transfer RNA, 72 nt
Filed under: Candidatus Woesearchaeota archaeon
Lineage: Archaea; Nanobdellati; Candidatus Woesearchaeota
Description: tRNA-Val
Rfam family: tRNA
About the family: Transfer RNA (tRNA) molecules are approximately 80 nucleotides in length. Their secondary structure includes four short double-helical elements and three loops (D, anti-codon, and T loops).
Source: RNAcentral